GUCAGGAUGGCCGAGCGGUCUAAGGCGCCAGACUCAAGGUAUGACCUUACUCGUCUAUGACGGGUCGAGAGAGAGCGUUCUGGUCCUCUCUGAGGGCGCGGGUUCGAAUCCCGCUUCUGACA
RNAcentral lists this transfer RNA (122 nucleotides) under Lasius niger. It matches the Rfam family "tRNA". Rfam says of the family: Transfer RNA (tRNA) molecules are approximately 80 nucleotides in length. Their secondary structure includes four short double-helical elements and three loops (D, anti-codon, and T loops). Lineage: Eukaryota; Metazoa; Arthropoda; Insecta; Hymenoptera; Formicidae. The record is from Rfam by way of RNAcentral.